Molecule: ribosomal RNA, 430 nt
Filed under: bacterium
Lineage: Bacteria
Description: partial 16S ribosomal RNA
Rfam family: Bacterial small subunit ribosomal RNA
Source: RNAcentral
UAGGGAAUCUUCCGCAAUGGACGAAAGUCUGACGGAGCGACGCCGCGUGAGCGAAGAAGGUCUUCGGAUCGUAAAGCUCUGUUGUUAGGGAAGAAGAAGUGCCGUUCGAACAGGGCGGCACGGUGACGGUACCUAACGAGAAAGCCCCGGCUAACUACGUGCCAGCAGCCGCGGUAAUACGUAGGGGGCGAGCGUUGUCCGGAAUUAUUGGGCGUAAAGCGCGCGCAGGCGGUCCCUUAAGUCUGAUGUGAAAGCCCACGGCUUAACCGUGGAGGGUCAUUGGCAACUGGGGGACUUGAGUGCAGAAGAGGAGAGCGGAAUUCCACGUGUAGCGGUGAAAUGCGUAGAGAUGUGGAGGAACACCAGUGGCGAAGGCGGCUCUCUGGUCUGUAACUGACGCUGAGGCGCGAAAGCGUGGGGAGCAAACAGG